AGCAGGAAGUAGAGGAGGAAGUAGAACAGGAAGUAGAACAGGAAGUAGAGCAGUAAGUAGAGGAGGAAGUAGAGCAGGUAGUAGAGCAGUAAGUAGAGGAGGAAGUAGAACAGGAAGUAGAGCAGGUAGUAGAGCAGGAAGUAGAGGAGGAAGUAGAACAGGAAGUAGAACAGGAAGUAGAGCAGGAAGUAGAGCAGUAAGUAGAGGAGGAAGUAGAGCAGGUAGUAGAACAGGAAGUAGAGCAGGAAGUAGAGCAGGUAGUAGAACAGGAAGUAGAGCAGGAAGUAGAGGAGGAAGUAGAGCA
This is a long non-coding RNA of Acanthochromis polyacanthus (spiny chromis), 304 nucleotides long. RefSeq lists it as uncharacterized. The transcript is spliced from 3 exons. NCBI's taxonomy places the organism in Eukaryota, Metazoa, Chordata, Actinopteri, Pomacentridae. The record is from RefSeq and is a predicted model, not a curated record.